This 301-nucleotide long non-coding RNA is filed under the name Mytilus galloprovincialis (Mediterranean mussel). The record is from RNAcentral. Lineage: Eukaryota; Metazoa; Mollusca; Bivalvia; Mytilida; Mytilidae.
AAAAAUGAAUAUUCUGUUACACUCUCUAUGGCUUUAUUCUCAUAGUAAAUAUGUGAUGUUUCACUUUUAUGUUUUGACUGACUAAAAAUCAUGGAUUUAGUUUUGUUUGUAUUCAAAGAGAGUUGCCAUUUGUUACAAUAUAAUUUAACGUUAUUUAAACUGUUUUGUAGACCCUCUUUUGAUUCUGACAGGAUUAAAAGAUCAUCCGCAAAAAGAAGGCAUCCUACCUUACUAUUUAUAAGUUUAAGGGGACUUGAAUCAUUUCCCUCAAAAUUUUUUACAAUAUCAUUUAUAAAGACAU